AGUGAACGCUGGCGGUAGGCCUAACACAUGCAAGUCGAACGGCAGCACAGUAAGAGCUUGCUCUUACGGGUGGCGAGUGGCGGACGGGUGAGGAAUACAUCGGAAUCUACUUUUUCGUGGGGGAUAACGUAGGGAAACUUACGCUAAUACCGCAUACGACCUACGGGUGAAAGCAGGGGAUCUUCGGACCUUGCGCGAUUGAAUGAGCCGAUGUCGGAUUAGCUAGUUGGCGGGGUAAAGGCCCACCAAGGCGACGAUCCGUAGCUGGUCUGAGAGGAUGAUUAGGCACACUGGAACUGAGAAAAGGUCCCGAAUCCUAAGGGAAGCAGGAGUGGGGAAUAUUUGACAAUGGGGGCAAGCCUGAACCAGCCAUACCGGGUGGGUGAAGAAGGCCUUCCGGUUGUAAAGCCCUUUUGUUGGGAAAGAAAAGCAGCAGGUUAAUACCCCGCUGUUCUGACGGUACCCAAAGAAUAAGCACCGGCUAACUUCGUG
This 492-nucleotide ribosomal RNA is filed under the name uncultured bacterium. Its description in RNAcentral is "partial 16S ribosomal RNA". It matches the Rfam family "Bacterial small subunit ribosomal RNA", at positions 29 to 507 of the family's 1533-position model. The record is from RNAcentral.